Molecule: long non-coding RNA, 758 nt
Filed under: Pan troglodytes (chimpanzee)
Lineage: Eukaryota; Metazoa; Chordata; Mammalia; Primates; Hominidae
Description: long non-coding RNA NONPTRT007731
Source: RNAcentral
UUGAAAGUUACUUUACUAUUUUCUUUAUAAUUCAUUAAAAUCUUUUACAAAGACCUUUGUCUGAUCUGAUUGUAAACAGAAAGUCAAAGGAUAUGAAAUCUAAGGAAAGCAGCAAGCCAUUGGAAGGUUUUUAGCCAGAGAAAUAUCUGUAUCUAAAAUAUAUAUUUUUCUGGCUAAAAACUAUAUACAUAUAUAUAUAUAUAUAAAACCAUAUAUAUUUAUAUAUUACCUAUCAUAUGUAUAUAUAAUGUGUGUGUAUCUAUAUACUCAUACCUAAGUAAAACAUAUAUAGUAGUAUUAUAUGGAUAUGGAUAUGAACAGUCUCUGCGUAGUGAGCUUCAUCCUGCCCACCUAACCCGUGCCAGGCUGAAGGGGGCAGAGCACUCUGAAACUGCUCCUGCCCUGGCUGCUCUGCUCGCUGCUGCUGCUGCCCCUUGGCCGUGACUUUCAGUGAUAUUGCUUAGCUACCCCCAGCAGUGAGGGCCUCAAAUCCUUUUCAUUAACAAGAAAUUCUGAAGUGUUAAGCUCAGAGUGCAGAUGCAAGACCAUCAGCCUCCAAGUUGAACCUAGUGGCACCAUCAGGAUUGUCAGAGCCAAAAUCUAAAACAAGGUGGGCAUCCCACCUGAUCAGCAGUGUCUGGUUUUUGCAGGCAGACAGGAGGAGAAUGGCUGCCUUCUCUCCAACAAUAUUCAGAGUGUCCACCUGCCCUUGGCAUGUGGCUGCGGGUCUAGACAAUGAUCUAAUCUUUCCUCUACCA